Sebastes umbrosus (honeycomb rockfish) is the source of this 237-nucleotide long non-coding RNA. RefSeq lists it as uncharacterized. NCBI's taxonomy places the organism in Eukaryota, Metazoa, Chordata, Actinopteri, Perciformes, Sebastidae. The record is from RefSeq and is a predicted model, not a curated record. The transcript is spliced from 2 exons.
GGUAGUUAGACACGUGGCUCAUGGAGCUGAUGCCUUGCUCAACGGCACCUCCAUAGUAGUAGCUGUCAGCAGCUCUUCUGAUCAGCCACAGCUGGUGUCAGGUACACUAAUUAGAUACAGACAGGUACAGGUGUCGUUCAUUAAAGGUCCCAUAUUGUAAAAGAAGUGACAUUUUCAUGACUUUUAUAUUAUAAAAGCAGGUUUUUAAGUGCUAUAUCCUCCUGGGUACCGAGUUAA